Long non-coding RNA from Penaeus monodon (black tiger shrimp), 377 nucleotides. RefSeq lists it as uncharacterized. Lineage: Eukaryota; Metazoa; Arthropoda; Malacostraca; Decapoda; Penaeidae. The transcript is spliced from 3 exons. The record is from RefSeq and is a predicted model, not a curated record.
UGGCGUGUUUCUACGGUGUAUGUCACUACUGCAAAACUACGAAACCUGUUUGUGCGACGAAUGGAAUCUUGGAGGGAGUCGUUAUAUUAUGGUUUCCGGAUCACCUUCCUCUCGUUAAAUUGCUCCACCCUUGGAGGUCCGCAUAUAGGUGGGAAACAGACGCGAAUUACUGUGAAAAAUUCAUGAAGGGAGAACAGUCUUCGAAUAUCUUAGACUUCAUGGACGAGUCCAUGUUUGACUUCCUCAUCCAAAGCGACAUUAGAUACCAUGCAGUGUAUGUCCAGGAUGCGCCCAAUUCUUCACUUGUACCCAUGGACAAUGGUAAAAGCCUUGGCGAUCCUAGAGUCGACCGCAUGGAUCUUCUUGCGCCGUUACUA